Molecule: ribosomal RNA, 432 nt
Filed under: uncultured bacterium
Lineage: Bacteria
Description: partial 16S ribosomal RNA
Rfam family: Bacterial small subunit ribosomal RNA
Source: RNAcentral
AACGAACGCUGGCGGCAUGCCUAACACAUGCAAGUCGAACGAGACCUUCGGGUCUAGUGGCGCACGGGUGCGUAACGCGUGGGAACCUGCCCUUAGGUUCGGAAUAACUCCCCGAAAGGGGUGCUAAUACCGGAUAAUGUCUUCGGACCAAAGAUUUAUCGCCUUUGGAUGGGCCCGCGUUGGAUUAGCUAGUUGGUAGGGUAAAAGCCUACCAAGGCGACGAUCCAUAGCUGGUCUGAGAGGAUGAUCAGCCACACUGGGACUGAGACACGGCCCAGACCCCUAGGGAGGGAAGAAGGGGGGAUAAUUGAACAUGGGCCGAAGGCUUGACCCAGCAAUGCGGGGGGAGUGAUAAAGGCUUUAGGUUUGUAAAGCUCUUUUCCCGGGGAGGUUAAGACCAGUACCGGGAGAAAAGGCCCGGCCAAAUUCGUU